UACAGAGGUCUCAAGCGUUGUUCGGAUUCAUUGGGCGUAAAGGGUGCGUAGGCGGCGCGGUAAGUCGGGUGUGAAAGUCGGGGGCUCAACCCUCGGAUGCCGGUGGAUACUGUCGGGCUUGAGUACGGAAGAGGCGAGUGGAAUUCCUGGUGUAGCGGUGAAAUGCGCAGAUAUCAGGAGGAACACCAAUUGCGAAGGCAGCUCGCUGGGACGUUACUGACGCUGAGACGCGAAAGCGUGGGGAGCAAACAGG
Molecule: ribosomal RNA, 253 nt
Filed under: uncultured bacterium
Lineage: Bacteria
Description: partial 16S ribosomal RNA
Rfam family: Bacterial small subunit ribosomal RNA
Source: RNAcentral